GCCCAAAGCCUUCUCUAGCCAGCAAAGCUGGUAUUUGGCCACCCUUUCUUCUGCUUCUGCAGUAUCUACGAGCAAAAGCACCAUUACUCCCACCGUACCCACCUCUUCAAAACUUAUCUAUACUUACACUCAUGCUAUGAGUGGUUUUAGUGCUCAUCUUUCUCCUUAUGAGCUUGAGGCCUUGAAAAACUCUCCCGGCUACAUUUCUUCCUUUAAAGACCUGCCUGUUAAACUUGACACAACUCGUUCACCAACAUUUCUAGGCCUCAAUUCCAACUCUGGAGCAUGGAAGGCGUCGAAUUAUGGGGAAGAUAUCAUUAUCGGGUUGGUAGAUACUGGUAUUUGGCCGGAAAGUGCUAGUUACAGUGACAGUGGAAUUUCUGGA
Molecule: unclassified non-coding RNA, 385 nt
Filed under: Hevea brasiliensis (rubber tree)
Lineage: Eukaryota; Viridiplantae; Streptophyta; Magnoliopsida; Malpighiales; Euphorbiaceae
Source: RNAcentral